This 721-nucleotide long non-coding RNA is filed under the name Homo sapiens (human). RNAcentral's name for it is "PREDICTED lncRNA (TCONS_00072794)". Lineage: Eukaryota; Metazoa; Chordata; Mammalia; Primates; Hominidae. The record is from RNAcentral.
AAGAAAAAUACUAGAACAAAUGCACCUUCUAUCCCAAGACAUCAGUUCUCUACAUGAAGACGGAGUCUCGCUCUGUCCCCCAGGCUGGAGUGCAGUGGCGCGAUCUGGGCUCACUGCAAGCUCCGCCUCCCGGGUUCACGCCAUUCUCCUGCCUCAGCCCACCGAGCAGCUGGGACUACAGGCGCCCGCCACCACGCCCAGGGGAUUCUGCUUUUGCAUCUUCCUCGUUUUCUCUUGCCGCUGCCAAGUAAGAAGUGCCUUUCACCUCACACCAUGUUUCUGAGGCCUCCCCAGCCAUGUGGAACUGCAAGUCCAGUUAAACCUCUUUUUCUUCUCAGGGCUACCUUAAUGAGCAGCCAGGAUGCCAUCAUCUCCGACCUGAAUGACAAUAACCUCCAAACCAGCCUUUGUAUACUCCUUCCUGCUGCUCUGCAGUCCACUUCCACAGACCAGCCAACUGAAUCUCCUUAUAGAUUCAUAAUGGCCAUCAGCACAAAGAUGUUUUAUCUGCAGUCAACCAGUCAUGUUUCAUGAUGGCAUCAAAAUGUGCUGGAAAAGGUCAGAGAAAAUCAUCAUCAUAAAGUGAAGUGAUUUUCUUCUUUAUGAGCUCCUGAUGUAAACAGACUGAUGAGCACAACACAAUCCUUACUCACCCACAUGACAUCAUACACAAUCACAGCUAAAUGUUUCUAUCUGUCAAAGCCUGAAGAGUGACUACCAG